CCUACGGGAGGCAGCAGUGGGGAAUAUUGCACAAUGGGCGCAAGCCUGAUGCAGCCAUGCCGCGUGUGUGAAGAAGGCCUUCGGGUUGUAAAGCACUUUCAGCGGGGAGGAAGGCGUUAAGGUUAAUAACCUUGUCGAUUGACGUUACCCGCAGAAGAAGCACCGGCUAACUCCGUGCCAGCAGCCGCGGUAAUACGGAGGGUGCAAGCGUUAAUCGGAAUUACUGGGCGUAAAGCGCACGCAGGCGGUCUGUCAAGUCGGAUGUGAAAUCCCCGGGCUCAACCUGGGAACUGCAUUCGAGACUGGCAGGCUAGAGUCUUGUAGAGGGGGGUAGAAUUCCAGGUGUAGCGGUGAAAUGCGUAGAGAUCUGGAGGAAUACCGGUGGCGAAGGCGGCCCCCUGGACAAAGACUGACGCUCAGGUGCGAAAGCGUGGGGAGCAAACAGGAUUAGAUACCCGAGUAGUC
Molecule: ribosomal RNA, 465 nt
Filed under: uncultured Klebsiella sp.
Lineage: Bacteria; Pseudomonadati; Pseudomonadota; Gammaproteobacteria; Enterobacterales; Enterobacteriaceae
Description: bacterial SSU rRNA
Rfam family: Bacterial small subunit ribosomal RNA
Source: RNAcentral